This 484-nucleotide ribosomal RNA is filed under the name uncultured bacterium. Its description in RNAcentral is "partial 16S ribosomal RNA". It matches the Rfam family "Bacterial small subunit ribosomal RNA", at positions 30 to 507 of the family's 1533-position model. The record is from RNAcentral.
AUUGAACGCUGGCGGCAGGCCUAACACAUGCAAGUCGAGCGGAUGAAGGGAGCUUGCUCCUGGUUUCAGCGGCGGACGGGUGAGUAAUGCCUAGGAAUCUGCCUGGUAGUGGGGGAUAACGUCCGGAAACGGGCGCUAAUACCGCAUACGUCCUGCGGGAGAAAGUGGGGGAUCUUCGGACUUCACGCUAUCAGAUGUGCCUAGGUCGGAUUAGCUAGUUGGUGGGGUACAGGCCUACCUAGGCGACGAUCCGUAACUGGUCUGAGAGGAUGAUCAGUCACACGGGAACUGAGACACAGUCCAGACUCCUACAGUAGGCAGCAGUGGGGAAUAUUGGACGAUGGGCGAGAGCCUGAUCCAGCCAAGCCGCGUGUAUGAAGAAGGUCUUCGGAUUGGAGAGCACUUUAAGUUGGGAGGAAGUGCAGUAAGUUAAUACCUUGCUGUUUUGACGUUACCAACAGAAUAAGCACCGGCUAACUUCGUG